CACGUAGGAGACUAGCGUUAUCCGGAUUUACUGGGCGUAAAGCGCGUGCAGGCGGCUCGGAAAGUUGGAUGUGAAAGCUCCUGGCUUAACUGGGAGAGGUCGUUCAAUACUUCCGGGCUAGAGGAUGGGAGAGGGAGGUGGAAUUCCGGGUGUAGUGGUGAAAUGCGUAGAUAUCCGGAGGAACACCAGUGGCGAAAGCGGCCUCCUGGCCCAUAUCUGACGCUCAGACGCGAAAGCUAGGGUAGCAAAC
This 250-nucleotide ribosomal RNA is filed under the name uncultured bacterium. Its description in RNAcentral is "partial 16S ribosomal RNA". It matches the Rfam family "Bacterial small subunit ribosomal RNA", at positions 524 to 773 of the family's 1533-position model. The record is from RNAcentral.